CCCAGUUCGGAUUGUAGUCUGCAACUCGCCUGUAUGAAGUCGGAAUUGCUAGUAAUCGUGGAUCAGCAUGCCACGGUGAAUACGUUCCCGGGCCUUGUACACACCGCCCGUCACACCAUGAGAGCCGGGAACACCCGAAGUCCGUAGUCUAACCUAUAUGGAGGACGCGGCCGAAGGUGGGUUUGGUAAUUGGGGUGAAGUCGUAACAAGGUAGC
This 215-nucleotide ribosomal RNA is filed under the name uncultured bacterium. Its description in RNAcentral is "partial 16S ribosomal RNA". It matches the Rfam family "Bacterial small subunit ribosomal RNA", at positions 1287 to 1500 of the family's 1533-position model. The record is from RNAcentral.